Strigops habroptila (Kakapo) is the source of this 5665-nucleotide RNA transcript. It is a transcript of the gene named ankyrin repeat domain 10, with no coding region annotated. The record is from RefSeq and is a predicted model, not a curated record. Lineage: Eukaryota; Metazoa; Chordata; Aves; Psittaciformes; Psittacidae. The transcript is spliced from 9 exons.
GGGCGGAGCGGCGCGCGCGGCCCCGCCCCGCUUCCUUUGUGCUCAGGCAGCUCGCAGCAGCCGCAGUCGCCGCCGCUUCCAGCCCGGGCAGUGCGCGCCUGCCCGCGUCUUCUCCCCCUCUCCUCCUUUCCCCCCCACCCCUUCCUUCCUAUUCCCUCUCCCCUCGCCCCUGCCGCUGCCCCGCUGCCCGCCAUGUCGCUGGGAGCCGGCCCGGAGGCGGGUUUCUCCAGCGAGGAGCUGCUGACCCUGCGCUUCCCCCUUCACCGCGCUUGCCGCGAUGGGGACCUGCCCGCCUUGUGCGCGCUGCUCCAGAGCUCGCCCCGCUCCGACCUGGCGGCCGAGGAUUCCUUCUACGGCUGGACGCCCAUCCACUGGGCCGCGCACUUCGGCAAGCUGGAGUGCCUAAUGCAGUUAGUAAGAGCUGGAGCUUCUGUAAAUGCCAGUACAACGCGUUUUGCUCAAACACCAGCCCACAUUGCUGCUUUUGGAGGACAUCCACAGUGUCUGAAUUGGUUGAUUCAAGUGGGGGCCAACAUAAACAAACAGCUAUGCAAAAAUAAGAAAUGGGGAAGUUUGUGUUGAGUUUUCAGAAAAGAAGGCUGGUGCAUUGAGAACAGCUGUGAGACACCAGGAGAAUUGUAGAAACAAUGAAGUGACUGGAUGCAGAGGCUAUAGAUCGCAUCUUCUCCUUGAUACCUGACAAAAGUAACUUAUUCAAUAAGUUAUUGCUGCAUAGUGGUAGAAUCUUCAGAAGAGAAAAUAGAAGAACUAUAAAUGCAUCUGGAGACCAGGUAAGAAUGUAAAGACACGGUGAUUAGAGAGGAAACAUGGCAUGCACAGAAUAAAGGUAUACAAAUAUCUGCUAAAUGAGAAGAGAAGAAUGAAUGAAAAUGAAUGAAUGAGAAGAAUGAAAGUUUCCAACUAUGAGGAUAAAGAGAAGAACUGACCAGUGAGAUUGAAAUGGAGUUGAAGAACAAGCUUGCUGUCCUGGAACCUGAUGGGGGAAAAGAAUUGCAUCUAGUGAGGGAGGUUAUAGCAAAGAAGAAAGUAGCAACUAGCCCCCAAAGAAGCAAAGAGUGCAGAGAGAUCUCUCCAUGGGCUGAGGGCACCAUGCAGAUGACUGUAAAGGAAAGCAGAAGGCAGUAUAAUAUGCAAUUAAAAAUAGGCAGGAGACUCAUUCCAGCUGAAGGAAGCCACCAAGACUAGCCAGUGACUCGGGAAUCUAUAAAUUCAUGGCCUGUCACCAGAGCUAAAUAGAUCUGUGAUCUUCCACAGGAGGAAGAGUACUGUAGUUAUCAAGUUUUCAAAAGAUAGUGGUGGUGGUAUCCUAUAGACUUCUAAGGGCAGAUUUAGGUAUUGACAGGCAAAGGACACUAAUAUAGAUGGUACUGCGAGCUGACUCUGUGGAAGCAUUGUGUGUUGUUAACAGCAGGCUCAAGUUUCACUUGAGUGUAAUAGCUUAUUUUGCCCCCACAAAAUGUUAACUGAACAUAUAAGAAGAGGUAUUCUAGGUGUAGUUCAAUGAAGAUAGCUCUGGUUAAUUAAAAUAUAGUAGAAACAAAAAAGUCUGUUGGGUUCUUAGUUAGGAUGCAGCUGGUCAGUCACACUGGUUUCACAUGAAUGAGCACUGAAAGCUAGGCAAACUUAUCUAAGAUGUAUCUGGAGUGUUUCAUACAUGGCUGUGAAGCAUAGUGCAUGCUUUGCUUUCCCCAGUUCCUUCCAGCUGUUUGUUGAAUUGCAGUCAAAUUCUACUAUUCUUGUUUGAUUUGAAGUCCUUAAUAAAUGAUCUUGGUUCCUUAUUUAACUUCCAAGCGCUGUCAGGUGACCAUCUAGGGCUUCCACCCACACUUUUGAGCUUCCAGAGCACUAUUUCCUGAUGUGUAUUUUGUUUGUUCCUUCCAGCUCGCUGACUGAUGCUGUACUUCAGACAGACAUAGUCACUGGCUAAUGCUUGUGUGAGGACAAGUGUUCCAUGGACACUGGAUACAAAACACAUGCUGAGAAAAAUCUGGGAAUACUUGAUAAUUAAAGUAGUAAAACUUUCCUUGCAAACUGACUCCUGUUCAUUGGCUACAGACUAACCCAUCACCUCUGGGAAAAGAGAAGGAUAGCUUCCGAAAAGGAAUCCACUCGAGUCUCUCAGUCUUUACGUAAACCUCCGGUACUCAGUAGAAUUUGCAUGCACGCUUUCUCAUGUGUGCCCUGAGGUACUGUAUUGUAGCCCAUGCUGCCUGCCCUGAAGUUUAGGAAAACAUGAAAAUGCAUAUCUCAGUGCUGGUGACAGCUGCCUGGGACAUUUCUUGGGCAGCAGCCAGGAAGGACUAAUGCUGAAAACUCCUUGUCCCAACUGUACCUUUCUCCCCAGAUAAGUUCUGUGAGUAUAUCUGUGAUACCCAGCCCUCUUAUAUUACUUUAUGUGCUGGCUAGCACCCAUCUGUCUCGUUUUAUGAUCAGUUGGGCAGUUCUCUCACUUCCAAGAUCACUAUAAAAAUGCAAAGGAGAAAGCUGAAGUGCCAAGCAGCGAUCUGCCUGUUCUGCCCAGCAGUGGAAUAAGAGAAAGUCCUACUAUAUAUAUAUAUUUUUUUUUAUUUUUUUUUUUUCAGUUCAGUGGGCAGUGCCUGCAAAUAGUUCUUAAUUGACUCAAGACCUGCAUUUGGCUAUCUGCCUGCUCUAGUUCACUGUAACAGUGCAAAGCAAUUAUACUGCUACUUUUACUUUCCAUGAGGGUUUGGUGGGUUGGUUUUUUUUAUGUUUUAUCCUUGUCACAACGCAGAUUGAUUUUUGUGCUGUUGUGGGUAUUAACAGCAGAUAAUCAUGAGUACUUUUUGAUUAAAAAGCCUGUUACUUCAUUUAAAUAUAUUUUCCCUCUAGCCUCAGCCUAUUAAACAUUUCUAUUGUAUAUUGCGUGUGUUGAUUUGCCCCCCCCUCCCAUUUUGUGUGGCUUGACUUAAAGAAGGGAUAAGAAAUACUGCAUCCUUACAAGUGGUGCUAAUAUACUUGUCAUCCAGCCAGUUACUGUCAUGUGCCAGUGAUGGCAAAUAGAUUUAGGAGGGUUAGAUUACCUACACUAGCAAGAGCUGUAAACACGGUGGUAUCCUUGGUGAGGAGGAAGAAGACACUCAUUCUUUGGUAUGUUACAGUUCUGUAUUUUAAACAACAGUUUGGACUAAAUCCAGAUAAAAAUAUUCGAUCAGUUCUCAUCUGCACUCAAAAUUCAGAAGGAGAAACCAUCAUGAAUUCAAAGCAUUUAUAGCGAAGAAUAAGAAAAAAUACUCUGUAUUCUCCAACAUCUACUUCUUGGCUUCAGAAAGGGAUUAUGUUGGUGAAACUCCUAUUCAUAAAGCAGCACGGUCUGGUAGUAUGGAUUCCAUAAGUGCCCUUGUGGCUCAUGGUGCGCAAAUAGACUGAAGCAUAUUCUGUGCACAGUAUGUCCUACAGCCAUAAAAAUGGUUGCUCCACUAACUAUGGUAUUCAUGGACCCUUGAAGAGGGGGAAGCAGGUGGUCACAAUGUCCUCAUAUGAGUGAAAAGCUACGUAAUUCGAAUUGACUUGAUUUUUUCAAGUAAUCCUAGAAAGGGGGAGCAUUCCAUAUAGAAACUGCUGAAACUGCCACAGGUGCUUCUCCGAAAACCUUACAGUUGUGGCAUUGAAUGUUCAGUAUCGCUUCCUUUCUGCACACAAGGCAUACUGUUGAGCUUGAGAAAUGCCAGUGGCCUGACAGCAGCAGACCUUGCACAUACCCAGGGCUUCCAAGAAUGUGCCCAGUUUCUCUUGAACCUCCAGAAUUGUCACCUGAAUCGUUUCUAUAGCAGUGGCACCUUAAAUGGGGUUCAUCAGAAUGCAGGUCCCAAUCCAUUCAGUGGUGGGACAAGUCGAAAGAGAUCCUUUGAAGAUACAGAGUCUGCUGGAGUAAAGAAGGCUAGAACUGAAGCUUACAGCUUUGAUGGCUUAAUACCAAUGAUGAAUGGAGGAGUUGAGGACGAUGCUGACAAUAUGCACGUUGAUAGAGAGUUUGCUGUUGUAUCAGAUAUGAAUAGCAGUAGCUCCAUAUUGAAUGCACUGACAAAUGGAUGUGCCAUCAAUGGACAUUUGGAUUUCACCACCGCACAACAGCUCAGUGGGAUGGAUGCCAGGCGUGAGGAGUGUUUAACACCUAACGGAAUAAUUCCUGGAAUAACUUCUCCCAGUAGGCAUCGAAUUCAUACCAGUAACGGCACCGAGGAACCAGAAAAAGCCAUGAAUAAUUCCACUGAAAUGUGUGGAUCGCUGCAUCUGAACGGAAGCCCGAGUAGCUGUGUUUCUAACCGGCCCUCAUGGGUGGAAGACCCUGGAGAUACUUUGCACUAUGGACACUAUCAUGGGUUUGGGGAUACUGCUGAAAGCAUCCCAGAGCUCAGUAGUGUUGUUGAGCAUUCCAAUUCUGUCAAGGUUGAACAGAGAUACGACAAUACUGUCCUAGGCACAAUGUAUUUGUAUCACGGUUCGUAGGUGAUGACCUUUGUAUCGAAUGCAUAUUGAAAUUGCUACCAAAUGAAACGGGGGACAGAAUCCUCACCUAGCAUUAAAUUUGAAGAUCGCAGUUUAUUGCUAUUUUUACACUUUGUUUAUAUGAAAAGUAAACUUUUAAUUUGACAGCCUUAUACAAUAGUUGUAGUUUGUUGCAUGUAUGGGGCUUACUUAGUGAUAAAAUAGGUGCUGUUAUGAUGGAAUGUUUAUUAUUUUUAUUAUUACGGAAUGUUCUGGUUUUGUAUUUUUUUAUUUCUAAGCUUGUGAACACUAUCUUUCCCUUUUUAGAGCUGUUUUAUUAAAACAAUGUUUAACGGAAUUUUGUGAAGAAAAUGUUACGUAUGUGCAUCACUUAGAAGCGAAGAUCUUACUUUUCCAUAUCUUCUGCUGAAGCUAUGGUAGCAAUAUCAAUGCCAGCUAUCACUAUGCAAGGUUGAAAGUGGCAAUCUUCUGGAGCUUCUCUGACUUUAUAGUUUGUACAUUUGUUUGGUAUAAUUAGAUGUUCACCUUUUCUGGACGAGUUGUUGAAAAACGCAGAGACAAACUUGGACGAAGUUAACCGUUUCACUUCCUGUGUAGUGUAGGAGUGCUUUUCGUUGUUGUUGGGCUCUUUGCAUUAUAGAGUGGGAAAGUGGGCUGCCUUUGUUCGGUCACAGUUGGGUGUGCUCAGGUUAGCUCUGAAUUUGUGGCGGUUUCCUUUGGCUUCUCUCCUUUAUACGUACGCUUGAUAUUUUACCAUUAGCUCACAGACCGGAGGCAUGUUGGCACUGUUCUGCUUUGUACGCAGUUUAAAAUUGCUGUUACUUGUUAUAGAAUUUGCCAAGUCAAAAAUAUUUGAGUUUGACUGUCUUGGAUAUACAUUUCUUGUCCUUUCUUUUAACAUAUGCUUCGGAAAUGUAAUGUUGUGUACUCUUUGGGCAAUGCUCACGGAAAAUACAUUGUAUUUAAAGCUUAAUACACAAAUCAAAAUUCAUAUAAGUGCACUAUAUGAGCACUAAUAAGUUGCUGCUUUGUGUUAUGAUAAGUGAAGAGUGGGGAAGAAUAUGGUAAAUGAGACAAGCCCUCUGAAUUGUGUUGAUUUUUUUGUUCUUGUUUUGUUUAAAAAGGGACCUUUACGAAUUGGAUUUAAAAAAAAUAAACCUAUCACAUUGUAUCUGAA